GAUGAACGCUGGCGGCGUGCCUAAUACAUGCAAGUCGAGCGAACAGACGAGGAGCUUGCUCCUCUGACGUUAGCGGCGGACGGGUGAGUAACACGUGGAUAACCUACCUAUAAGACUGGGAUAACUUCGGGAAACCGGAGCUAAUACCGGAUAAUAUAUUGAACCGCAUUGUUCAAUAGUGAAAGACGGUUUUGCUGUCACUUAUAGAUGGAUCCGCGCCGCAUUAGCUAGUUGGUAAGGUAACGGCUUACCAAGGCAACGAGGCGUAGCCGACCUGAGAGGGUGAUCGGCCACACUGGAACUGAGACACGGUCCAGACUCCUACGGGAGGCAGCAGUAGGGAAUCUUCCGCAAUGGGCGAAAGCCUGACGGAGCAACGCCGCGUGAGUGAUGAAGGUCUUCGGAUCGUAAAACUCUGUUAUUAGGGAAGAACAAAUGUGUAAGUAACUAUGCACGUCUUGACGGUACCUAAUCAGAAAGCAACGGCUAACUACGUG
RNAcentral lists this ribosomal RNA (497 nucleotides) under uncultured bacterium. Its description in RNAcentral is "partial 16S ribosomal RNA". It matches the Rfam family "Bacterial small subunit ribosomal RNA", at positions 28 to 507 of the family's 1533-position model. The record is from RNAcentral.